AAGCACGCAAGUUGAGAUGAUAAUUAGUUAUACGAACAAAUACACAAAUUCUAAUUUGCAUCAACCAACAACAAUCGCAUUCUGAUUUCACAAUCAGGAGAGUGAAAUUCAAAAAGAGGAGAGAACAUCGUCUUCUCUGAAUCGUAACAAGGUGUUCUGGUUGAAAUUUGGCAACAGUAUAUUAGCAACUAUGAAAUUCAAGAAAGGGACUAAGGUGGAAAUAUUAAGCAAAACAGAGGUGCCUUCUGGCUCCUGGCGAUGUGCAGAGAUCAUCUGUGGUAAUGGUCACCACUACUCUGUUAGAUAUGAUGGAUAUGACGGUACUUCUUGCAAAGAAGUUGUGGAUAGGGUACCCAGGAGAGCCAUAAGACCAUGUCCUCCUGGCCUUAAAGUCACACAGGAUUGGAGGCCAGGUGAUGUCGUAGAGGUCUGUCAGAAUUCCUCCUGGUCAAUGGCUACAGUUUUGAAGGUUUUGGGGAAGGAGUACAUUUUGGUCAGGCUGCUUGGAUCUUCUUUGGAAUUUAAUGUGAAUAAAUUUGACAUUCGGGCGAGACAGUCUUGGCUAGAUGACAAGUGGAUUGUGCUUGGAAAGGGCACAUCCAGAUGUGAGAAUGGAAAGCGUGAUGAUACACUUGCUCCAAGGCUUAAUUUAAUGUCUAGUGCCCAAGUUCAGAAAACAGCCUUGAAGACAAAGCGAUCUUUUGACCAUGAUUAUCUUCAUGACAGGAAAAAAGGGAAUUUUCUGAAUUCCCAUCUUGGCUCUAAAACAUUAAAGCGAAGGAGCCAUUCACAAGUUGACUUAUAUGCAGAGCCUCCCCUGAAGCUGAGAGCAACCAAUAAUGAAGGUAGAUAUCACAGAGCAAGAGUUGCGAAUCCAUCCACGCUACACAGGCAGGCAGAUGGUGUUGCUGUCCCAAGGGACAUUCAGGUUGAAGAAUAUAGAGAAAAAUUCGAAACAAAUGAUGCUGAUGACGUCUCAAGCUCUGUUUGUAGUUGUAGUAUCAAUGACUGCAAUUUGAAUAAAGCAUGCUGUCCUGUAUCUGCAGGUCUUGUUGAAGAUUUCGAAGGUGCAACUUCUGAUGCUGAAUCUGCAUGCCAUUCUAGAUAUGAGGAAGGGAAUCGUUCCCUUUUUUCAGAAGAAGAAAUGGCCGCAGAAAUCCAUAGGGCCAUGAUGGAGGCAUACAGAUUUUGCUUCCAGGUGUCUGCAGAUGAUGGUGCUUGCCAUCUUUUUCUCGGUGUAGAGAAUGGCUGGGUUUUCUAGUAUGGUUCUUGAUAAGCCAGUGAUUACAUAAACUUUGGGGGUUCUGCAUCCUUCCAUUUUUGCCUGUCUGUAGGCUUAAAUGUGCUUUGCUGAAGAAAACAAGCUCAGGGUCUUGUGGCUGCCAUGGGCUGUCCUUAUUUGUGGAUAUUCAAUAGGUGUACUCAAACCCAAACUUGCGCUUGAAAUAAUUAACACUAUCAUCUGAGCACACUCCUUAAGAGAUUAUUAUAUGUCAAAGCCUGGUUAAUAGUCUGAAAAUUAUUUGUAAAUUAUUUUGAAAUGCCUAAUAUUCUGGUAACAGGACAGAAGAAACUAAUGGAAGGCUGAAUUAUGGUGAAUGUCUGUGUAUUGAUUAAUAUUCAGUGAUCAAAUCUAUAAACUAAUGGUGACAUAGUCAGGUGUUAUCGCUGCCUAAGCUGCAUUAGACAGCAGCUGCAUAGGGUUAAGUCCUGGAUUUGGAUCUUUAGCAUGCUCUCACUUAACAACUUGUGUAAUUUACUAGCGAUAACUUUUUGAGUUAAUUGGAUUUUACACAAAAUUCUUGUUUUUGCUGCUGUCGUUGCUCAUAUGCACUAUUGUAUAAAUAACUAAUUCUUUUCUUCUUGUGGUGGGAUGCACACAAUGAAAUUCCUCAACGACUUGUCGGCGCAUCACUGUUCAGCUACGAUCAAAUAGCGUGCAGAUGUCUGCUAAAGCUAGAAUGACACAAGAGGAUUCUCUGCUUUACUCCCUCGCCUGAGCUGUGUAUGUCCAAGCUGUGAUGCGCGUCUUUUAAUGUUCUAGUUUUUGGCACGCCUGGUUUGUUUCAAGGAGGUCUCUCGCUUGGCUUACAUGCGAUGCACGUCAUUGAACUUGCUGUUCCAUGUUCAGUUUACUGUUUACAGCAAGUGGACGAAUGAACCAGGACUCUUCUUCAAAGCUACGUUCUCUUUCAUAUCUGAUUUUCUAGCAUGUUUCUAACGCUGCUUGUCUUUUCUUGCUGAGACUGCAUCAAUCCCCCGACGAAGAGGGACUCGUGGGCUUCAAUCGUUUAUGGGCCUUGUUCAGGCCUAGAUUGUAGCCUGUCACAGAUUGGCCUUCUGGCUCAAAUUCUUUGGAGCUGACGUUAUUGCAAACUGAUAAUGCUUCUUCUCCUUUUACCAAAUAAUAAUAUUAAUAAUAAUGCUCCAAGCAGAAGGAUGGCUGUGUUAUCCCCAUUUCAAAUUUGAAAA
Prosopis cineraria is the source of this 2472-nucleotide RNA transcript. RefSeq lists it as uncharacterized. The transcript has 6 exons. The record is from RefSeq and is a predicted model, not a curated record. Lineage: Eukaryota; Viridiplantae; Streptophyta; Magnoliopsida; Fabales; Fabaceae.